This 93-nucleotide non-coding RNA is filed under the name Clostridiales bacterium. RNAcentral describes it as "TPP sequence". It matches the Rfam family "TPP riboswitch aptamer (THI element)". Rfam says of the family: Vitamin B(1) in its active form thiamin pyrophosphate (TPP) is an essential coenzyme that is synthesised by coupling of pyrimidine and thiazole moieties in bacteria. The previously detected thiamin-regulatory element, thi box was extended, resulting in a new, highly conserved RNA secondary structure, the THI element, which is widely distributed in eubacteria and also occurs in some archaea. Analysis of operon structures identified a large number of new candidate thiamin-regulated genes, mostly transporters, in various prokaryotic organisms. The record is from RNAcentral. Lineage: Bacteria; Bacillati; Bacillota; Clostridia; Eubacteriales.
ACGUUAUGGUAUGGGAGCUAUUAGCUGAGACGCAAGGACCAUCAUUACCUGAUCCGGAUAAUACCGGCGGAGGGAAUUCAUAACUUAACAAUA